AGGAUAUUAGUUUAAUUAAAAAUAUUUAAAUUGCAUUUAAUGGAUGAUAGAUUUAUCAUAUCUUA
Molecule: transfer RNA, 65 nt
Filed under: Chrysis fulgida
Lineage: Eukaryota; Metazoa; Arthropoda; Insecta; Hymenoptera; Chrysididae
Description: tRNA-Ala
Source: RNAcentral